This 253-nucleotide ribosomal RNA is filed under the name uncultured bacterium. RNAcentral describes it as "partial 16S ribosomal RNA". It matches the Rfam family "Bacterial small subunit ribosomal RNA", at positions 524 to 776 of the family's 1533-position model. The record is from RNAcentral.
UACGGGGGGGGCAAGCGUUGUUCGGAAUUACUGGGCGUAAAGGGCUCGUAGGUGGCCAACUAAGUCAGACGUGAAAUCCCUCAGCUAAACUGGGGAACUGCGUCUGAUACUGGAUGGCUUGAGUUCGGGAGAGGCGAGUGGAAUUCCCAGUGUAGCGGUGAAAUGCGUAGAUAUUGGGAGGAACACCAGUGGCGAAGGCGGCUCGCUGGACCGGUUCUGACGCUGAGGCGCGAAAGCGUGGGGAGCAAACAGG